RNAcentral lists this unclassified non-coding RNA (221 nucleotides) under Hevea brasiliensis (rubber tree). Lineage: Eukaryota; Viridiplantae; Streptophyta; Magnoliopsida; Malpighiales; Euphorbiaceae. The record is from RNAcentral.
GUUUGUAGAAGUAAGCUUAUCAUCUUUGUUUAAUGAGGAUCUCUUCUACCAACACCAUGUCUUCUUCAUCCUUGAUACACUUCACUUGAUUUAGGUCUCGGGCCUCCUCUCUCGCCUUCGCGAACCUUUACAGUUUCUUAUCUCCGCCUUUGUCUCCUAGUUUAUCAUAUAGUCGUUCGAAAACUGUCGUUUUGCUAUUGUAGCCACUAACUUAGCCUCCG